AACAGCCUAACCAGCUCUGCUAGGGCGAGUAAAAUGGUCAGAGUGAGGUGUUCUCUCAUUUGUGUCUGGAAGCAGCUAGCCAACGAGCCACCGUCAGCCAGUUAGCUGGGUGCUUGACUGCCCUUGUGAGGUCAGAACGCUCGGAUCAACCCUACUCCUCCGUCAGAGCGUCCAAUGUGGCUCUGAAUUUACGAACGCCAACAGCGCAAUUUACGAACACACCACCUAGGUUCCACUUCAUACUCCCCCGUCAGCUCUGAGACGCAAAAUAGUGUUAUUUUAUUUUGGAAUGUUGAACAUUUCAAAUUCGCGGAUCAUUCUUCAGUCAACUGACAGAUGAUGCAAGACUCACAAACGACCUGGAGGAUUUACAAACUGUUACAAAAGUAUUUUAAUAUGUAAUUUGCCCGUUAAGGUAUGCGGGAUCAGAAAAAGGAGAAGGGAUCAUGUCAAAUGUCUCAACCUCGGUGAUAGCUCAGCCAUCACCUCAUGAUUAUAUCCAGAUUUUUCAAGACAUGUUGAGUCAAAGCUGAUCUACUCUAACAGCUGACUGCAGUUAUUGUAUUUUCUGUGCAGUUUUAUUUAAUAGAGAAUACAUCUAAAUGUUACAUGAAAAAAUGCCCAAAUAGCUGGUGGAUUAGAUUUUUUUGUUUUGUUGAUCAACCUCACGUGCUGCAGAGUAGACUGGAUUUAUCUGAGUGCUAACCUCUAUGCAUGGAUAUGCUGAUGAGGAUAUAAGGACGGAAUACAUGUCAACAACUCCAACAAGACUGGACAUAGGACCCUAGUUGUAUUCUAUCUGGUGUCAAACAUUAAGCUCUCAUGGAUGGUAGGGCUUUCUGCUUCAGGAGAUUAAGCAAUAGAAGCUCAGAUCCCCAAACAAGAGAUGACAAUCUGGCUGUAAAGACUUGAAGAUAGUUGAGCCCUAUAACACAUUUGCCAAGUUAUUUUGUUGCUUCUGCCUUGUAUUUGUCAAUAAAUCUAGAUUACUUUGAUUUGGUGUGCAGGUCAAUUUGUGCUAUGGAUGUGCAUGAGUUCU
Molecule: long non-coding RNA, 1039 nt
Organism: Oncorhynchus keta (chum salmon)
Lineage: Eukaryota; Metazoa; Chordata; Actinopteri; Salmoniformes; Salmonidae
Exons: 5
Source: RefSeq, a predicted model, not a curated record